AUAAUCUGCCUAAGGUGGAGAUAACCUCGGGAAACUGAGAAUAACACUCCAUAGAUCUAGGAUGCUGGAAUGCACUUAGGUUGAAAGCUUCGGUGCCUUAGGAUGAGUCUGCGGACUAUCAGGUUGUAGUCAGGGUAAAGACCUGACUAGCCUACGACGGAUACGGGUUGUGAGAGCAAUAACCCGGAGAUGAUAUCUGAGACACGAUAUCAGGCCCUACGGGGCGCAGCAGGCGCGAAAACUUCGCACUGUGCGAAAGCACGACGAGGGAAUCCCAAGUGUAUGCACUUUUUGUGUAUACUGUUUCUCUGUCUAAAAAGCAGGGAGAGUAAGAGCUGGGUAAGACGGGUGCCAGCCGCCGCGGUAAUACCUGCAGCUCAAGUGGUGGCCGCUAUUAUUGGGCCUAAAACGUCCGUAGCCGGUUCUAUAAAUGCCUGGGUAAAUCGUACGGCUUAACCGUACGAAUUCCGGGUAGACUGUUCAACUUGGGACCGGGAGAGGCUAGAGGUACUCCUGGGGUAGAGGUGAAAUUCUGUAAUCCUAGGGGGACCACCAGUGGCGAAGGCGUCUAGCUAGACGGGUCUGACGGUGAGGGACGAAGCCCUGGGGAGCAAACGGGAUUAGAUACCCCGGUAGUCCAGGGUGUAAACGCUGCUCGCUUGAUGUUAGUCGGGCUCCGAGCCCAACUAGUGUUGGAGAGAAGUUGUUAAGCGAGCUGCCUGGGGAGUACGGUCGCCAGACUGACACUUAA
This 751-nucleotide ribosomal RNA is filed under the name uncultured archaeon. RNAcentral's name for it is "bacterial SSU rRNA". It matches the Rfam family "Archaeal small subunit ribosomal RNA", at positions 104 to 859 of the family's 1478-position model. The record is from RNAcentral.